This is a non-coding RNA of Megalopta genalis, 2492 nucleotides long. The record is from RefSeq and is a predicted model, not a curated record. NCBI's taxonomy places the organism in Eukaryota, Metazoa, Arthropoda, Insecta, Hymenoptera, Halictidae.
GUUACAUACAUUGAAUGACUGGCGUACUGGUUACCUCCAUCCUUUAUAACGCUUUUCUAAAUCAACGUUCUCACCGUGAUCUCAUAACAAUUAUAUUGCACCUUCUACGCAUAGGGGGAACAAGGGUGGUGGUACACUACAUAUAAUGUAGGUUCGGGACAGAGAAUCUAACCUCAUGGCCACAUGAUCAUAAAACGACCCUAUUUCCUUCAAUCGAGAAGUUGUAAGAGUGGGACUGUGAACAUGAUCUGGCGUAGUGGGUCGCUGAUGAUUCAUGUUGAAACUUCCGUUCAGAUUAUUUCAUGUUUUACCUGUGCAUUGUAUAUUUCCUCUUUGUUUAUACUGGUUUAUAUGCUGUACACGUGGAGCCCCAUAGUCGAUUAUUAUGUUAUUGAGAUUUUUUUUAGCAAAAUCUCAAUCUCUAUCUUCAUCACGACUACAGAGUAGACCAGGGUGGAGUAAACUGGAUAUCCAGUGCAUUAUUUUGUCACCCAAAAUUGGGGCUUCAGAAGCAAUGAUGUAGAUUUGAAGAUUUCCUAUCUCAGCGCCAUCACACACACAACGGUAGAGAAACGAACUUUAGCUUAUGAAAACACCUCUCUAUAGCAGACCUUCCAACAUCCUGACCGCUUUACGACUUUCUUCCACGAAAGUAGAAGUGGAAGAAUUAUCCAUCACAAAUGAGAUUGAAUGAUGCCAAUGGAUUUCCAUGAACAAUCUAUUGGAAUCGUCCAAUCCCAUUUGUGAGGUCUCCUCUCCGCCACUUGGAGCAGAUUUCGGACAAAAUCCUUGACACCAUUGGACAUACUAGACACCAAUGGACACACUGACCUUGAGUGGAAAUUCUACGAACAGUCAGGAUGCUGGAAAGUCUACUCUAUAGAAUAAUAAAUACUGGUAGACAUUACUUACAGUAAUGGAUCUACUCCUGCACAUUUUCAGGUCACAGCGAGGCUUGAUAUAGAAAUUUUCUUUGCUCUGAUUGGCUGACGAUUCAUUGCUGAGACAGGAAAAGAGUGCAGGAGUAGAACACCCGGUACUAUACUUCAGCUAUCAUAUUCUGUGUUGAAUUUAGUGCGUGUAGUUUUAUGUUCAUCUAUAGGAGCUGGUGAUCGAGGAAGAACUAAAAAGAUAGGGGAAUACAUUACGUAUGCCGGCCAUGGAUGGUAUUUCGGCCGGUAGUGUGGGACUUCCCGGUUGACCAUAUCCAGGUAUACCCACUUUACCGUCACUAGCUACUUCAGGAUCAUAGCUGCCCGUGUGUCUGACCAUAUUGUUUUUUGUCUCCUAUUGUUACGGCGAUACGUACCCUUUCUCUUUUCUUCCUCAUUCUUUAUUCUCGCCUUCUCCUUGAGAAUUGUUUAGAAAAAACCUUUUUAACGCCGUUAUUUUAUCCUAGCUUUCUAAGAUUUCUAUGAUGUUGUCUAGUCCAAAUGGUCCUACUUCCUCGACGCAGUCUAGUCUGGGCUCCUCUCAUGCAGCACACGUCAAGAUCAUUUUUUUCAGAUAAUUUGAAAAACACCCGUACCCGGUCAGUAUCUCAGUCGUGAAAUAGUCUAGGAUAGGAGGGGGUAUCCUAUCCAGUUUUUGAUUUUAGGAAUGAACCGGUAGAUCCAGCCUCCCAAGCUAGACCUUUCCCAGUUUUCCUGCCACUUAUCGAUGGCGUUGUUCUGCUCCUGGGUCUUCAUCCCGGAGACCAAUUUGUCGAUCGUAUCUUGUCGUUUAAAUAAUCUCACUCUCUUCUCCGCCGGUAGAGGUAGUGGUAGUAUUGCUACCAAGACGCAAUCGAGACCGUUCUACAUAUAUCCCCUGACUACCCUCAUUAAAGCAGUCUUCUGUGUUUAACUUCCUAUCGUUCUUGUACUUUCCCGCCUCUGGGCUUAGUAUGGGCGCUGCAUACAUCAGGGCGAAUUCCACCACUCGAUAGUAUAGUAAAUGCGGCAGGUAAGCUCCGCCGCUGAUGUUCGGUAGUAUCCGAGAAAGUGUCUCAGCUAUUUUCAUUGCCUUCGUGGUUGCUUGUGUAAGGUGUCCAAAGAACACCCGAUUGCCUCCCAUGUUUAGUCUAAGAUAUUUGACACUUCAUUGGUGGUCGAAGUUUACGACUGCCAAAUAUAACCCUGAAUCCCCGAGGCGGCUUCCUACUGGAGAUGACUUCCAGAGCUGUAGCAGUGACGACUUUCAAGGUCUCGAGGUCCAGGGCCGAGGCCACCAGAGUCACAUCAUCAGCGAAGCCAAGUAUCAUUAUAUUUUUAAACAGAGAAAUUUUCAGGAGGUCAUCAUACUGGAUAUUCCACAUAAUAGGUUCAAGUACGGAGUCCUGCGGGACAUCAUAGUCCUUGUGCCGUUGCCGUAAACUCAAUGGUUCUGCUGGCGGCGGAAGGGAAGGAGGAGCGAGGAUUGAACAGCCUCAGAAGCUAGAUCUGAAACGCAGCGUCUGGACACUGAGUAAGAAUAUCGCAGUCCAGAAACAGAAGUGGAUUGCUGCAACGGUG